UUCCAGACUCCUACGGGAGGCAGCAGUGGGGAAUAUUGGGCAAUGGAGGCAACUCUUACCCAGCAAUGCCGCGUGAAUGAAGAAGGUCUUCGGAUUGUAAAGUUCUUUAAUUGGGGACGAAAAAAAUGACGGUACCCAAGGAAUAAGCCCCGGCUAACUACGUGCCAGCAGCCGCGGUAAUACGUAGGGGGCAAGCGUUGUCCGGAUUUACUGGGUGUAAAGGGCGUGUAGCCGGGCUGACAAGUCAGAUGUGAAAUCCGGGGGCUCAACCCCCGAACUGCAUUUGAAACUGUUGGUCUUGAGUAUCGGAGAGGCAGGCGGAAUUCCUAGUGUAGCGGUGAAAUGCGUAGAUAUUAGGAGGAACACCAGUGGCGAAGGCGGCCUGCUGGACGACAACUGACGGUGAGGCGCGAAAGCGUGGGGAGCAAGCAGGAUUAGAUACCCGGGUA
RNAcentral lists this ribosomal RNA (449 nucleotides) under uncultured bacterium. RNAcentral describes it as "bacterial SSU rRNA". It matches the Rfam family "Bacterial small subunit ribosomal RNA", at positions 329 to 792 of the family's 1533-position model. The record is from RNAcentral.